This 1435-nucleotide ribosomal RNA is filed under the name uncultured bacterium. Its description in RNAcentral is "partial 16S ribosomal RNA". It matches the Rfam family "Bacterial small subunit ribosomal RNA". The record is from RNAcentral.
AGAGUUUGAUCCUGGCUCAGGACGAACGCUGGCGGCGUGCCUAAUACAUGCAAGUCGAGCGAGCUUGCCUAGAUGAUUUUAGUGCUUGCACUAAAUGAAACUAGAUACAAGCGAGCGGCGGACGGGUGAGUAACACGUGGGUAACCUGCCCAAGAGACUGGGAUAACACCUGGAAACAGAUGCUAAUACCGGAUAACAACACUAGACGCAUGUCUAGAGUUUGAAAGAUGGUUCUGCUAUCACUCUUGGAUGGACCUGCGGUGCAUUAGCUAGUUGGUAAGGUAACGGCUUACCAAGGCAAUGAUGCAUAGCCGAGUUGAGAGACUGAUCGGCCACAUUGGGACUGAGACACGGCCCAAACUCCUACGGGAGGCAGCAGUAGGGAAUCUUCCACAAUGGACGAAAGUCUGAUGGAGCAACGCCGCGUGAGUGAAGAAGGGUUUCGGCUCGUAAAGCUCUGUUGGUAGUGAAGAAAGAUAGAGGUAGUAACUGGCCUUUAUUUGACGGUACCUCCAAAGGAAGCGCGGGUUAACUCGGUGCCAGCAGCCGCGGUAAUACGGAGGGGGCGAGCGUUAAUCCGGAAUUUCUGGGGGUAAAGGGGGGCUAGGGUGUCGUGUAAGUUGGGGGGUGAAAUCCCUUGGGUUCACCGGGAAACACCCCUUAAUAAUGCGUGAAUUUGAAUCCGGGAGGGGGAGGGGGAAUUCCCAGGGGUAGGAGGGAGAUCGGUAGGUUUUUGGAGGGACCUCCGGGGGGAAGGCGGGCUCUUGGAUCGGUAUUGACGGUGAGGCGUGAAAGCGUGGGGAGCAAACAGGAUUAGAUCCCCUGGUAGUCCACGCCGUAAACGAUGAAUAUUAGGUGUCGGUGAGCAUAGCUCAUUGGUGCCGCAGCAUACGCCAUAAAUAUUUCCCCUGGGGAGUACGUUCGCAAGAAUGAAACUCAAAGGAAUUGACGGGGGCCCGCACAAGCGGUGGAGCAUGUGGUUUAAUUCGAAGCAACGCGAAGGACCUUUCCAGGUUUUGACAUCCCUGUGGCCGGUCCGUAACGGGAUCUUUCCUUUGGGACCGAGGAGACCGGUGGUGCAUGGUUGUUGUUAGCUUGUGUUGUGAGAUGGUGGGUUAAGUCCCGCAACGAGGGCCACCCUUACUUUCCGUAGCCAGCGAGUAAAGUCGGGCACUCUGGAGGGACUGCCAGGGACAACCUGGAGGAAGGUGGGGAUGACGUCAAAUCAUCAUGCCCCUUAUGAUUUGGGCUACACACGUGCUACAAUGGCGUAAACAAAGGGAAGCGAGCCAGUGAGGGUAAGCAAAUCCCAAAAAUACCGUCUCAGUUCGGAUUGUAGUCUGCAACUCGACUACAUGAAGCUGGAAUCGCUAGUAAUCGCGGAUCAGAAUGCCGCGGUGAAUACGUUCCCGGGUCUUGUACACACCGCCCGUCA